RNAcentral lists this ribosomal RNA (922 nucleotides) under uncultured bacterium. Its description in RNAcentral is "partial 16S ribosomal RNA". The stretch from base 238 to 922 matches the Rfam family "Bacterial small subunit ribosomal RNA". The record is from RNAcentral.
GGGCGCGUUAUAGUGAGCAGCGAACGAGCGUUUGUCAUAGGCCUGAUCUGAGCGUACUGGUAAACUGCAAUCUUAGUGAGCCUGCUUAAUAGGCCGCCGGGCAGUCAAUGGGCAGUGUCACCACUUCUCAAUGGUUGGGCAAUGUUGUAUACACUCCCUUACUGAGACUCUAACUCAUAGCAACCUUGUCAGUCCAAAUACCUGAUGGGUCUAGAGUUCUGGUGCAGGGGUACGCAUGGAUAUUAGUGGUGUAGGGUGUCACAAUCUCGUAGAGAUCACCUAGCGAAUACCCACCACAGUCGAAGGCGAUCUUACUGGAACAGUACUCGAUCGACUCGAGGGCGCGACACAGUCGUGGGGAGCAAACAGGAUUAGAUACCUCUGGUAGUCCACGCCCUAAACUAUGAAUGUUAGUCGUCGGGUAGGCUUGUCCUUUCGGGGGGAGCCAUUGUAAUAAACAGGGGUGGCUUGCCAACUGGGGCCUGUUUCGUUCGAGUCUUCGGUGUUUCGGUGAGAAUGUUUGGGCUUUCAAUGUCCCGCCUACGAGCGCAACCCUCAGUCACUAGUUACUAACGGUUCGGCCGAGGAUCUCUAGUGAGACUGCCUUGCGCACAGGAGGAGGAAGGUGAGUGAUCGACGUCAAGUCAUCAUGGCCCUUACGGCCAGGGUCGCACACACGUGCUACAAUGGGCAUGUACUAACUGAGACGCAAUACCGCGAGGUGGAGCAAAUCUAUAAAGCAUCUCUCAGUUCGGCAUUGUAGUCUGCAACUCGACUACAUGAAGCUGGAAUCACUAGUAAUCGUAGAUCAGCCAUGCUACGGUGAAUACGUUCCCGGGUCUUGUACUCACCGCCCGUCACACCAUGGGAGUUGAUUUCACCCGAAGCGGGGAAGCUAUAACUGGCUACCCUCCACGGUGGA